UGAGACUCCAUUGUUAUUGAGGUACAUUUCUGUUGAAGGUAGUGAUAAAGAGUCAAAAGCUUUGCCUUUUUCGAACCCGAGGGUGUUGGUGUUGGUGGAGAAGGGAGGUGAGAUUAGUAUAGUUGAAGAGUAUGUGGGUGGAGAUACGGAUAAAUGUUACUGGACGAAUUCCGUUAUGGAAGUGGUUGUUGGGGAAGGAGCAAAGGUGAGCCAUUCUUACAUCCAAAAUCAAUCUUUCAACGCGGCACAUAUCAAGUGGACUUGGGUUCAGCAGGAAUCAACUAGCAAAUACGAGCAUAUAGAAGUAAGCACUGGUGGGAAGUUAAGCAGGCACAAUAUUCACAUCCAGCAGGUUGGUCCAGACACUGUUACUGAGUUAUCGACGUUUCAUAUGUGCAUCUCGGAUCAAACACAAGAUCUACACAGUAAGUUAGUCCUAGAUCAUCCACGAGGUGUCUCUCAGCAGAUCCAUAAGUGCAUUGUGGCCCAUUCGUCUGGACAGGCUGUUUUUG
This 512-nucleotide unclassified non-coding RNA is filed under the name Hevea brasiliensis (rubber tree). Lineage: Eukaryota; Viridiplantae; Streptophyta; Magnoliopsida; Malpighiales; Euphorbiaceae. The record is from RNAcentral.